This is a small nucleolar RNA of Sciurus carolinensis (gray squirrel), 128 nucleotides long. RefSeq annotates it as small nucleolar RNA SNORA68. Lineage: Eukaryota; Metazoa; Chordata; Mammalia; Rodentia; Sciuridae. The transcript has a single exon. The record is from RefSeq and is a predicted model, not a curated record.
AGUGAGCUACAAGAUUUACAGCUUUCUUAUAGCAUCAGUUUAAACAAAGGUGCAAACAACAAGAGAAGCUUGUAGCCUUUGGGGGUUAUAGCUCUGCCUUUCAAAGUGAAUCUGGGUGUUCUACACCC